Long non-coding RNA from Syzygium oleosum, 710 nucleotides. RefSeq lists it as uncharacterized. The record is from RefSeq and is a predicted model, not a curated record. The transcript is spliced from 2 exons. Lineage: Eukaryota; Viridiplantae; Streptophyta; Magnoliopsida; Myrtales; Myrtaceae.
UCUAGAUAAAAAAAGGUACAUGAUAUCCAAUAAAGUUUGGGUCUUCCUGAUGAGAAGUAUUUUAUUUGAGUGUAUUAUUACGACAAUCCGUUUGAGUAAGACCGAAGAGCAUAUGUUUUGAUGCACAUUAUGUUCUUGAGUUAGAUAAAUCAAUUGUUCCCCUUUUUCUCCGGAUCAAGAAUUUUGGCUCUCGUUUGAAAGAAAGGACCUUUUCUUUUUUCUUGUGGCCAUCCAAAACAGAGGAUUAAAGUUAUAGGCUUUUACGUGGCAGCUAUAGUGCUAAAAAUUCGCAUCAAGAUGGGCUACAAUGAUUAGCUGAAGGGUGCUGAAGUAGUUGAUGAUCAUGAAUCGCUUGUUAGGAGAAUUGUGCUCCUUUGAACAUGCAAAGUUAGCCCAAAUUAUGGUGCGCAACAAAGAGACAUUCACAUUAUGGAUGAUAGUGGGAUGUGAAAAGUGAAGCAACAAAGCCAAUUUGCGUUUUACAAAGUCUUGGUCUUCCUGGAAUUGAUUAAAGUUUCUUUCCAGUUGGUACUUUUUCUUAAAGUGCUUCGCUUUUGCUUCACAUGUCACGCGUAGAAAUUCUCCACUUUUGCUUCACUUUCCAGACAAAAGAGCACAUGACAUCCAAUAAUGUCUCUGGAAAUAUUCUCUAAAUAUUAGGAAACAAGUACUUGUGGACAAAAAGUAUUUUAAAAUGAUUUCUCUAGCCA